This 479-nucleotide ribosomal RNA is filed under the name uncultured bacterium. RNAcentral describes it as "bacterial SSU rRNA". It matches the Rfam family "Bacterial small subunit ribosomal RNA", at positions 32 to 473 of the family's 1533-position model. The record is from RNAcentral.
GACGAAACGCUGGCGGCGUGCCUAAUACAUGCAAGUCGAGCGAGCUUGCCUAGAUGAUUUUAGUGCUUGCACUAAAUGAAACUAGAUACAAGCGAGCGGCGGACGGGUGAGUAACACGUGGGUAACCUGCCCAAGAGACUGGGAUAACACCUGGAAACAGAUGCUAAUACCGGAUAACAACACUAGACGCAUGUCUAGAGUUUGAAAGAUGGUUCUGCUAUCACUCUUGGAUGGACCUGCGGUGCAUUAGCUAGUUGGUAAGGUAACGGCUUACCAAGGCAACGAUGCAUAGCCGACCUGAGAGGGUGAUCGGCCACAUUGGGACUGAGACACGGCCCAAACUCCUACGGGAGGCAGCAGUAGGGAAUCUUCGGCAAUGAACGAAAGUCUGACCGAGCAACGCCGCGUGAGUGAAGAAGGUUUUCGGAUCGUAAAACUCUGUGUUAGAGAAGAAACAAAGGAUGAGAGUAGCUGUUCAU